CCAGUUCACGCUCCUUUUCCUGGAUGAACAUGGUUUCAUGCAAUGGAGCAUGCGUGCAGUAGCCAUGUCUACGCAUGCGUCGUUUGAACCUCCAUGAAUUUUACAGCUGUUUACAUUAUCCUGAUAUCUGUGUGCGCAGUUUGUACGACACGUUGCAAUUGUUGUACCAACAAGAAACAGUACUGCAAUAAGAACUAUGCUCACUUUUCUCUGCAUUUU
Molecule: long non-coding RNA, 219 nt
Filed under: Mytilus galloprovincialis (Mediterranean mussel)
Lineage: Eukaryota; Metazoa; Mollusca; Bivalvia; Mytilida; Mytilidae
Source: RNAcentral